Molecule: ribosomal RNA, 520 nt
Filed under: uncultured bacterium
Lineage: Bacteria
Description: bacterial SSU rRNA
Rfam family: Bacterial small subunit ribosomal RNA
Source: RNAcentral
AAUAGAUACCCUGGUAGUCCACGCCGUAAACGAUGAGUGCUAAGUGUUAGAGGGUUUCCGCCCUUUAGUGCUGAAGUUAACGCAUUAAGCACUCCGCCUGGGGAGUACGGCCGCAAGGCUGAAACUCAAAGGAAUUGACGGGGGCCCGCACAAGCGGUGGAGCAUGUGGUUUAAUUCGAAGCAACGCGAAGAACCUUACCAGGUCUUGACAUCCUCUGACAACCCUAGAGAUAGGGCUUCUCCUUCGGGAGCAGAGUGACAGGUGGUGCAUGGUUGUCGUCAGCUCGUGUCGUGAGAUGUUGGGUUAAGUCCCGCAACGAGCGCAACCCUUGAUCUUAGUUGCCAUCAUUCAGUUGGGCACUCUAAGGUGACUGCCGGUGACAAACCGGAGGAAGGUGGGGAUGACGUCAAAUCAUCAUGCCCCCUAUGACCUGGGCUACACACGUGCUACAAUGGACGGUACAAAGAGCUGCAAGACCGCGAGGUGGAGCUAAUCUCAUAAAACCGUUCUCAGUUCGGA